GCCCAGGUGGUGGAAUGGUAUACACGAUAGAUUCAAAACCUAUUGGCGAAAGCCGUGGAGGUUCGAGUCCUCUCCUGGGCA
This 81-nucleotide transfer RNA is filed under the name Candidatus Wolfebacteria bacterium RIFOXYD1_FULL_48_65. Its description in RNAcentral is "tRNA-Leu". It matches the Rfam family "tRNA". Rfam says of the family: Transfer RNA (tRNA) molecules are approximately 80 nucleotides in length. Their secondary structure includes four short double-helical elements and three loops (D, anti-codon, and T loops). RNAcentral also lists the same sequence under 2 other names. The record is from RNAcentral. Lineage: Bacteria; Candidatus Wolfeibacteriota.